This 143-nucleotide small RNA is filed under the name Escherichia coli. RNAcentral's name for it is "Short Intergenic Abundant RNA". It matches the Rfam family "Short Intergenic Abundant RNA". From Rfam's summary of the family: This family contains multiple ncRNA from E. coli that were identified in a large scale screen of E. coli, were they were called candidates 43,55 and 61. These RNAs have also been identified by other groups and called QUAD RNAs. The record is from RNAcentral. RNAcentral also lists the same sequence under 1 other name. Lineage: Bacteria; Pseudomonadati; Pseudomonadota; Gammaproteobacteria; Enterobacterales; Enterobacteriaceae.
UUGACAAUCUUAUCGUGAAGGCAUACUUUCAGGAGUGAGGGUAGAGCGGGGUUUCCCCCGCCCUGGUAGUCUUAGUAUGCUGGGUAGCUAAUCACUAAGAGCACCACGAUGAUGAUCCACUUCAUCAUGACCCUUUCCUUAUU